GCAGAAAACCCACACAGGUACGGGGAGAACAUGCAAACUGCACACAGGUAGGCUGGAAUCCAGAUUCGAAAAUCCAACGUCAGAAGGUGAAGUCAGUAACCACUUGGCCACCACCGUGUUGCCUGGAAGGCAGCUUGCUCUUCGGUUGGAUGCUCUUCCGUCUGUGCACUGUGGCUGGUGGGCACCACUCGCGGCUUUCCACGGUACAGGACACGAGACAGGGUGGCUCCUCCUUCCGCCUGUCAGUCACAUGCGAAGCAAGGUGGCACCAACCUCAGACAGACGCCGUAAAAUAUUAUUUAAUGUACCUCCAAUGGACUAAAACGUCUACAUGUGUUUGCGUGGUCGUAUUCUAUCGCUACAAGA
Molecule: long non-coding RNA, 366 nt
Organism: Hippocampus zosterae (dwarf seahorse)
Lineage: Eukaryota; Metazoa; Chordata; Actinopteri; Syngnathiformes; Syngnathidae
Exons: 2
Source: RefSeq, a predicted model, not a curated record